CUCGUAGGCGGUUCGUCGCGUCGGCUGUGAAAACCCGGAGCUCAACUCCGGGCCUGCAGUCGAUACGGGCGGACUGGAGUUCGGCAGGGGAGACUGGAAUUCCUGGUGUAGCGGUGAAAUGCGCAGAUAUCAGGAGGAACACCGGUGGCGAAGGCGGGUCUCUGGGCCGAUACUGACGCUGAGGAGCGAAAGCGUGGGGAGCGAACA
This 207-nucleotide ribosomal RNA is filed under the name uncultured bacterium. RNAcentral's name for it is "partial 16S ribosomal RNA". It matches the Rfam family "Bacterial small subunit ribosomal RNA", at positions 568 to 774 of the family's 1533-position model. The record is from RNAcentral.